CCCCAGGCUGGGCUGGGCCAGUAUCUCUUUGAGAGGCUCACUCUCAAGCAUGAGUAGGAGCCUC
This 64-nucleotide microRNA precursor is filed under the name Mustela putorius furo (domestic ferret). RNAcentral describes it as "miRNA (ENSMPUG00000022289.1)". It matches the Rfam family "mir-692 microRNA precursor family", at positions 21 to 83 of the family's 109-position model. The record is from RNAcentral. Lineage: Eukaryota; Metazoa; Chordata; Mammalia; Carnivora; Mustelidae.